UACAGAGGUCCCAAGCGUUGUUCGGAUUCACUGGGCUUAAAGGGCGCGUAGGCGGCUCGCGAGGUCGGGGGUGAAAUCCCACGGCUCAACCGUGGAAGGGCCUCCGAUACCGGCGGGCUGGAGGAAGGUAGGGGUGCGCGGAACUUCUGGUGGAGCGGUGAAAUGCGUUGAUAUCAGAAGGAACGCCGGCGGCGAAAGCGGCGCACUGGACCUUUACUGACGCUGAGGCGCGAAAGCCAGGGGAGCAAACGGG
Molecule: ribosomal RNA, 253 nt
Filed under: uncultured bacterium
Lineage: Bacteria
Description: partial 16S ribosomal RNA
Rfam family: Bacterial small subunit ribosomal RNA
Source: RNAcentral